Molecule: transfer RNA, 66 nt
Filed under: Sphaerodactylus townsendi
Lineage: Eukaryota; Metazoa; Chordata; Lepidosauria; Squamata; Sphaerodactylidae
Description: tRNA-Glu
Source: RNAcentral
GUGGCUCAGUGGAAAAGCCUCUACCUUUCAUGCAGGAGGUCCCAGGUUCAAUCCCCAGCAUCUCCA